UGGUAACUCCACCACCGUUGGCGAUAUUUGACAGCCAAUGGGAGCUGGAGUUCCCGCG
RNAcentral lists this microRNA precursor (58 nucleotides) under Aedes aegypti (yellow fever mosquito). RNAcentral describes it as "Aae-Mir-2765_pre stem-loop". Lineage: Eukaryota; Metazoa; Arthropoda; Insecta; Diptera; Culicidae. The record is from RNAcentral.